Esox lucius (northern pike) is the source of this 308-nucleotide long non-coding RNA. RefSeq lists it as uncharacterized. NCBI's taxonomy places the organism in Eukaryota, Metazoa, Chordata, Actinopteri, Esociformes, Esocidae. The transcript is spliced from 4 exons. The record is from RefSeq and is a predicted model, not a curated record.
ACGAUGAUGUGUAACCAAUGACAAAGUAAAGAGGCGUGACCUGCUGGAGGCGCCCCAGUUGUGAAGACAAUUAAAUUCACGGCUUCCACAGAAGACAGCUGUUGUUUCCAGCGCGGAGUAUGUCGUUUACAUUGUUUAGGUUGAAAUUAAACCCAGCCGUGUUUGGUAAACACAUUUUUGGGCAUUCAAAUCUUGACCAAGUGACCAGCAUCAAUGUCAGUUGGACUGUGUGGUUGUGAUCUUAGACAACCUGAACAGAUCCUUUUUGUAUUGAGGACCCCAGGUGAUGAUACAGAGUACAUCACCAU